This 71-nucleotide transfer RNA is filed under the name Candidatus Uhrbacteria bacterium RIFCSPLOWO2_02_FULL_49_11. RNAcentral describes it as "tRNA-Gln". It matches the Rfam family "tRNA". From Rfam's summary of the family: Transfer RNA (tRNA) molecules are approximately 80 nucleotides in length. Their secondary structure includes four short double-helical elements and three loops (D, anti-codon, and T loops). The record is from RNAcentral. Lineage: Bacteria; Candidatus Uhriibacteriota. RNAcentral also lists the same sequence under 1 other name.
UCGGGGAUCGUCUAAUGGUAGGACAGCAGGCUCUGGACCUGCUAAUCUUGGUUCGAGUCCAAGUCCCCGAG